Molecule: ribosomal RNA, 901 nt
Filed under: uncultured archaeon
Lineage: Archaea
Description: bacterial SSU rRNA
Rfam family: Archaeal small subunit ribosomal RNA
Source: RNAcentral
CCGGAGGUUACUGCUAUCGAGGUUCGACUAAGCCAUGCGAGUCGAAUGUAGCAAUACAUGGCGAACUGCUCAGUAACACGUGGACAACCUGCCCUUUAGGUUGGGUAUAAACCCGGGAAACUGGGUAUAAUACCCGAUAGGUCUCGAUUGCUGGAAUGCAUCGAGAUUUAAAGCUCCGGCGCCUAAGGAUGGGUCUGCGGCCUAUCAGGUAGCAGUGGGUGUAGCGUACCUACUAGCCUACGACGGGUACGGGUUGUGAGAGCAAGAGCCCGGAGAUGGAUUCUGAGACACGAAUCCAGGCCCUACGGGGUGCAGCAGGCGCGAAAACUUUACAAUGCUGGCAACAGCGAUAAGGGAACCUCGAGUGCCAGGUUACAAAUCUGGCUGUCGAGAUGCCUAAAAAGCAUUUCAUAGCAAGGGCCGGGCAAGACCGGUGCCAGCCGCCGCGGUAACACCGGCGGCUCGAGUGGUAACCGUUAUUAUUGGGUCUAAAGGGUCUGUAGCCGGCCGGAUAAGUCUCUUGAGAAAUCUGGCAGCUUAACUGUCAGGCUUUCAGGAGAUACUGUCUGGCUCGAGGCCGGGAGAGGUGAGAGGUACUUCAGGGGUAGGGGUGAAAUCUUGUAAUCCUUGAAGGACCACCAGUGGCGAAGGCGUCUCACCAGAACGGACCUGACGGCAAGGGACGAAAGCUAGGGGCACGAACCGGAUUAGAUACCCGGGUAGUCCUAGCCGUAAACGAUACUCGCUAGGUGUCGGCCACGGUGCGACCGUUGUCGGUGCCGUAGGGAAGCCGUGAAGCGAGCCACCUGGGAAGUACGGCCGCAAGGCUGAAACUUAAAGGAAUUGGCGGGGGAGCACCACAACGGGUGGAGCUUGCGGUUUAAUUGGAGUCAACGCCGGG